This is a long non-coding RNA of Tupaia belangeri chinensis (Chinese tree shrew), 1089 nucleotides long. RefSeq lists it as uncharacterized. Lineage: Eukaryota; Metazoa; Chordata; Mammalia; Scandentia; Tupaiidae. The record is from RefSeq and is a predicted model, not a curated record. The transcript is spliced from 3 exons.
GUCUGAGCCAGCAUCCUGCACUCCAGCAGGAUCUGCUUUCGGCAUCAGAAGCUGCUUCGAGACAGAGGAAUAGUGGAAGGGUUAGAGCAGACCCCUUACUUCCUUUCGACAGUCUUGCUGAACUUAAAAGUCCAAAUCCUUGAUCAGCUAAGCCUCACCUGAGGCCAAGGGACAGAGGAAAAGAUGGCAGGGUAGAGACCCUUGGAUUGGCUUAUUUGGACUUUGGAUUUUUCCCUGACUUUCUUGGUCAAGCCUCAUGUCAGAUCCAGGUAAGAAUGAUGUACCUUUGGAAACUACCGAGAACAGCUUCAGGAAGCAGCUAUACAGUAAGCCCUACAGUUGGAGGAUUUAUGUCAGUGGAAAAAUCUGUAGCAUUUUACAAAUCGUGAGGUUGAGAACUAUACCUGGUUCCUGCAUCAGAAGAAAAUAGCAGUCCUUUUUCCCUCCCUAUGAAAGAAAGCUUUUACAGAACAUGUGGUUGAAGAAGAAGGAGAGUCAGUGCCCCUCCCCUCGCCCCCUUUUUUAAAACAAAGAAGCUAAAUGAGAACACUUAACGCAGAAGAGAACUGUGUUCAUUGUAGCACUUUUCGAGGUCUGCUGGAGCCAUUUAGAUAAACAAAUUAUGCAGCUCCUCCUCCUUUGGUAACCUUGAUCCUGAAUGAGUGAGUGCAAUAGUCCUACAGAUUUUUGUCCUCUGCAUCCCCACUGAAGCUGCAGAGGGUCCUCAGCAAGACCUCAUCAAGUAGGGGGAAAUUAAAGAGAAAUUGUUCAUGGUACCUUCUCUCACCUGACAAUAAACUGGCAUCGUUUUGGCCCCAUCCAGAAGAGAAAAGCCUACCUGUAGGAACACAGAAAGAAGAUCUGGAGCUUGCACGUCAUCUAAGAGAAGAAUGAAGGGAGGUUUAUCAUGUUGCUAUCCAGGGAACACAUUCUCUAAGGAUGGGAUAGGAGGAAGCAAGAACAGACAGUCAACAGAGGAUAUCUUAGAGGACGUAAAUCCAUUGGAGUGUUUCAAGAAAGCAAGAGAGACAGAAUUCAGCCAGACUUUCAAAAGGAAAAGAAAGAAUUAUGUCCAGCACUCUUUCAAUU